RNAcentral lists this long non-coding RNA (1222 nucleotides) under Homo sapiens (human). RNAcentral describes it as "non-protein coding LIX1L-AS1:43". The record is from RNAcentral. Lineage: Eukaryota; Metazoa; Chordata; Mammalia; Primates; Hominidae.
ACAGAUCGCAAGCUAAAUCAUCCAUCUUAGGAGGUACAGACUACAGGGGGCCGUGGCUUCCUCUUAACCGCGGCAGCUGCUGAUAAAUACUGUACUAUUAACAGUGAGGCCCGGCGUAAUUUCCUUAUUAGAGGGCUUCUUUACGUCUCUUCAUCCCAAACUGGGAAAUGGUAAUUGAAGAAACCCUUUUCUUUCAAAAAUCCCAGGCCUGUACCCUGUCUUUAGGCAGCGUGGUGUAUGAUAGGAGCGUUUUUAAAAAAUAGUUUGAUCAGCAGUGAGGGCAUAAAGAGCUGCUUCUGGAACCUGCAGCACCAAAUUUCUCUUCAGGAAACUAACAGACUUGGUUGCAAUACGGUUGGUGAGACAGAUAUCAAUUUUUUUUUUAAAUAUAAAACUCCCUGCCUGUAAUCCCAGCUACUAGGGAGGCUGAGGCAGGAGAAUCGCUUGAACCCGAGAAACGGAAGCUGAUUAGCUGGGCGUGGUGGAGUGCACCUGUAAUCCCAGCUACCUAGGAGGCUGAGGCAGGAGAAUCAGUUGAACCCGGGAGACGGAGGUUGCAGCGAGCCGAGAUCUUGCCACUGCACUCCAGUCUGGGGGACAAGAGCGAGACUCUGUCUCAAAAAAAAAAAAAAAAAGUGAAUAAGAGUAAAACGAAAAAUAAAAUUUAAAAAGCGAUUAGGAGACACUAAUUCAUUCUCCACAGUAGGUACUGUGAUCAUUUUAAAAAUCAGUUGGUUACAUACCUACUAAAAAUCCUUGUUGUUGUUGUUUUGAGACGUAGUCUCGCUCUAUCACCCAGGCUAAGAGUGCAGUGGUGCAGUCUCGGCUCACUGCAUCCUCUGCCUCCCGGGUUCAAGCAAUUCUCCUGCCUCAAGCCUCCUGAGUACCUGGGACUACAGGCGCCCUCCAAGCCUCCUGAGUACCUGGGACUACAGGCGCCCCCCCCCACACACACACACACACCCGGCUAAUUUUUGUAUUUUUAGUAGAGACGGGAUUUCACCAUGUUGGCCAGGCUGGUCUUGAACUCCUGACCUCAAGUGAUCCACCAGCCUCCACCUCCCAAAGUGCUGGGAUUACAGGCGUGAGCCACUGCGCCCGGCCUAAAAACCCUUUUUGUUAGAGGGGUUUGGUUAUACUACCCAGGCUGGCCUGAAACUCGCCUCCCAAGCAUCUGGGACGACAGGGGUGUAACCAUGCACCCGGCUCUUUCCUUGGCAUU